AACGAACGCUGGCGGCAUGCCUAACACAUGCAAGUCGAACGAGACCUUCGGGUCUAGUGGCGCACGGGUGCGUAACGCGUGGGAACCUGCCCUUAGGUUCGGAAUAACUCCCCGAAAGGGGUGCUAAUACCGGAUAAUGUCUUCGGACCAAAGAUUUAUCGCCUUUGGAUGGGCCCGCGUUGGAUUAGCUAGUUGGUAGGGUAAAAGCCUACCAAGGCGACGAUCCAUAGCUGGUCUGAGAGGAUGAUCAGCCACACUGGGACUGAGACACGGCCCAGACUCCUACAGGAGGCAGCAGUGGGGAAUAUUGGACAGUGGGCGGAAGCAUGAUGCAGCAAUGCCGCGUGAGUGAUGAAGGCCCUAGGGUUGUAAAGCUCUUUUACCCGGGAUGAUAAUGACAGUACCGGAAGAAUAAGCUCCGGCUAACUCCGUG
RNAcentral lists this ribosomal RNA (433 nucleotides) under uncultured bacterium. RNAcentral's name for it is "partial 16S ribosomal RNA". It matches the Rfam family "Bacterial small subunit ribosomal RNA", at positions 29 to 507 of the family's 1533-position model. The record is from RNAcentral.